ACACUUCCAAUUUGUACGUCGCCCUGGAUAAGAGCGUCUGCUAAAUGACGUAAA
Molecule: non-coding RNA, 54 nt
Organism: Salmo salar (Atlantic salmon)
Lineage: Eukaryota; Metazoa; Chordata; Actinopteri; Salmoniformes; Salmonidae
Source: Rfam